UACGUAGGGUGCAAGCGUUAAUCGGAAUUACUGGGCGUAAAGCGUGCGCAGGCGGUUGUGCAAGACCGAUGUGAAAUCCCCGGGCUUAACCUGGGAAUGGCAUUGGUGACUGCACGGCUAGAGUGUGUCAGAGGGGGGUGGAAUUCCACGUGUAGCAGUGAAAUGCGUAGAUAUGUGGAGGAACACCGAUGGCGAAGGCAGCCCCCUGGGCUAACACUGACGCUCAUGCACGAAAGCGUGGGGAGCAAACAGG
This 253-nucleotide ribosomal RNA is filed under the name uncultured bacterium. Its description in RNAcentral is "partial 16S ribosomal RNA". It matches the Rfam family "Bacterial small subunit ribosomal RNA", at positions 524 to 776 of the family's 1533-position model. The record is from RNAcentral.